RNAcentral lists this small RNA (20 nucleotides) under Arabidopsis thaliana (thale cress). RNAcentral describes it as "Ath_wt_05139". The record is from RNAcentral. Lineage: Eukaryota; Viridiplantae; Streptophyta; Magnoliopsida; Brassicales; Brassicaceae.
CCUAACGGCGUGCCUCGGCA